This is a non-coding RNA of Salmo salar (Atlantic salmon), 3993 nucleotides long. NCBI's taxonomy places the organism in Eukaryota, Metazoa, Chordata, Actinopteri, Salmoniformes, Salmonidae. The record is from RefSeq and is a predicted model, not a curated record.
AUCACCUUGUGAGUUGAUAAUGUGUCUCACUCUUCUGUGUGUCUCGUUCACUUACAGCCAUGGCAGCUGCUACGGAGAAUGACACCAGAGCGCCCUCUAGGGACCAGUCCUAGAAAUGCACCAGAGGACGUAGGUGAGACUGAGUGACGGAACGAUUUGUGUUGGAAAAUCCUCAGCAAGAAAUCUGCAUUACUAAUGCUUGCUCUCUGUCUCCCUCUUGUCUGCAUUUGGGGGUGGCAGCGUAGCCUAGUGGUUAGAGUGUUGGACUAGUAACUGAAAGGUUGCAAGAUCGAAUCCCUGAGUUGACAAGUUUGAAGAAGCUGGGCUUCCUGAAGCCACAGGCAAAGAGAUUGACAUGCUUCUGGAGUACCAGGACCAAUUCCAUGAUGUGUGUGUGUGUGUGUGUGUGUGUGUGUGUGUGUGUGUGUGUGUGUGUGUAUGUCCAGUCUGAAGGUGUCAGUGAUGCGGGGGGGACUGCUGGACGAGGAGACAGGCCAACCCGUGGAGGUGAAGUUAGAGGCCGUUGCCCUAGAGAUGACCCCCCCCCCCUCCUCAGGUGGCCAAGCCCUCUGCCCCAGAUGCCUCCGAGAGAGAGGGGGAGUCAGGGCGUCAGUCCGAGAGGAGCACGGAGAAAGCACUGGAAAGCUACUGUGGAGAGGUGUGUGUGUUCACGCUGUUCUGUGUUUGACUCAUGAGGAACUACGAAUCCAACUAUCCACAUGAAUUUCAAGAUAUUUGGGUACUAUAUUUUCUGCUGCCAAAUGUGUGUGGUUAUGUACAGUCACAGUAUGUACAGUCACAGUAUAUACAGUCACAGAACAGCCUCCCCAGACUUAUCUAUCUGUAAUUUCAUCUGCUCAUCACCUCUCUUUAUACCUCUCUCCUUCCCUCUCUCUCCUUCCCUCUCUCUCAUCCCUCUCUCCAUCCCCCUCUCCUUGGUAGGACUCAAGUGUUCCACUACUUCACUGAGAGCGAAGAGAUUAGUGAUUACUUCUAAGAAGGAAGGGAGGAUACAUUACAAGUGUUGUAACAGGACAGUCCCUGUUCUCAUUGCUUUGUCUGUGCCUCUUCUUUAGCCUCAGGUGUUGAUAAACCUCCCUACCAAGAAACUCCUCUCUACCGCACCCCCUCUGCCUGUGAGUAUUAUAGCUCCUCUCUACAGCGCCCCCUCUGCCUGUGAGUAUUAUAGCUCCUCUCUACAGCGCCCCCUCUGCCUGUGAGUAUUAAAGCUCCUCUCUACAGCGCCCCCUCUGCCUGUGAGUAUUAUAGCUCCUCUCUACAGCACCCCCUCUGGCUGUGAGUAUUAUAGCUCCUCUCUACAGCGCACCCUCUGGCUGUGAGUAUUAUAGCUCCUCUCUACAGCACCCCCUCUGGCUGUGAGUAUUAUAGCUCCUCUCUACAGCGCCCCCUCUGGCUGUGAGUAUUAUAGCUCCUCUCUACAGCACCCCCUCUGGCUGUGAGUAUUAUAGCUCCUCUCUACAGCACCCCCUCUGCCUGUGAGUAUUAUAGCUCCUCUCUACAGCGCCCCCUCUGCCUGUGAGUAUUAUAGCUCCUCUCUACAGCGCCCCCUCUGGCUGUGAGUAUUAUAGCUCCUCUCUACAGCACCCCCUCUGCCUGUGAGUAUUAUAGCUCCUCUCUACAGCGCCCCCUCUGGCUGUGAGUAUUAUAGCUCCUCUCUACAGCACCCCCUCUGGCUGUGAGUAUUACAGCUCCUGUCUACAGCGCCCCCUCUGUCUGUGAGUAUUAUAGCUCCUCUCUACAGCGCCCCCUCUGGCUGUGAGUAUUAUAGCUCCUCUCUACAGCGCCCCCUCUGGCUGUGAGUAUUAUAGCUCCUCUCUACAGCACCCCCUCUGGCUGUGAGUAUUAUAGCUCCUCUCUACAGCGCCCCCUCUGGCUGUGAGUAUUAUAGCUCCUCUCUACAGCACCCCCUCUGGCUGUGAGUAUUAUAGCUCCUCUCUACAGCGCCCCCUCUGGCUGUGAGUAUUAUAGCUCCUCUCUACAGCACCUCCUCUGGCUGUGAGUAUUAUAGCUCCUCUCUACAGCGCCCCCUCUGGCUGUGAGUAUUAUAGCUCCUCUCUACAGCACCCCCUCUGCCUGUGAGUAUUAUAGCUCCUCUCUACAGCGCCCCCUCUGCCUGUGAGUAUUAUAGCUCCUCUCUACAGCGCCCCCUCUGGCUGUGAGUAUUAUAGCUUCUCUCUACAGCACCCCUUCUGGCUGUGAGUAUUAUAGCUCCUCUCUACAGCACCCCCUCUGCCUGUGAGUAUUAUAGCUCCUCUCUACAGCGCACCCUCUGCCUGUGAGUAUUAUAGCUCCUCUCUACAGCACCCCUCUCUGGCUGUGAGUAUUAUAGCUCCUCUCUACAGCACCCCCUCUGCCUGUGAGUAUUAUAGCUCCUCUCUACAGCGCCCCCUCUGCCUGUGAGUAUUAUAGCUCCUCUCUACCGCGCCCCCUCUGCCUGUGAGUAUUAUAGCUCCUCUCUACAGCACCCCCUCUGGCUGUGAGUAUUAUAGCUCCUCUCUACAGCACCCCCUCUGCCUGUGAGUAUUAUAGCUCCUCUCUACAGCACCCCCUAUGGCUGUGAGUAUUAUAGCUCCUCUCUACAGCACCCCCUCUGGCUGUGAGUAUUAUAGCUCCUCUGCAGAUAGUAGUAAUACUGUAAUAUGCUUUAAUUCUAAGCAGCUCAUAGUUCUUAUAUCGAAGUAUUGUAUGUGUGCUCCACGUGGGAAUCAAACCCAUAACCCUGAUGUUGUCAGCACCGUGCUCCACAUGGGAAUCAAACCCAUAACCCUGAUGUUGUCAGCACCGUGCUCCACAUGGGAAUCAAACCCAUAACCCUGAUGUUGUCAGCACCGUGCUCCACAUGGGAAUCAAACCCAUAACCCUGAUGUUGUCAGCACCGUGCUCCAUGUCCCAAACCCAUAACCCUGAUGUUGUCAGCACCGUGCUCCAUCUGGGAAUCAAACCCAUAACCCUGAUGUUGUCAGCACCGUGCUCCAUCUGGGAAUCAAACCCAUAACCCUGAUGUUGUCAGCACCGUGCUCCAUGUCCCAAACCCAUAACCCUGAUGUUGUCAGCACCGUGCUCCAUCUGGGAAUCAAACCCAUAACCCUGAUGUUGUCAGCACCGUGCUCCAUGUCCCAAACCCAUAACCCUGAUGUUGUCAGCACCGUGCUCCAUCUGGGAAUCAAACCCAUAACCCUGAUGUUGUCAGCACCGUGCUCCAUGUCCCAAACCCAUAACCCUGAUGUUGUCAGCACCGUGCUCCAACCAACUGAGCCACCUCAGAACUGCCACACCGUGAGCAUGAUGAAGAUAUCACAGUGAGUCUUUUUUCUAACUCUUUGCCCCAACGCAGCUCUCCUGUGCCCUGACCUCUUGUCGCUACAGAAACAGUGCGCUGCCCUCACAAUACUCACUCGCUCCGGGAGAGACGCAAAGGGGAGGAGACGGAGGAGGAGGGAAGCUCCGAGCUGGACAGAGAGAUGAAGAGGGACUCUGGCAUGCAAGAGUCUCCUAUGGAAGAAGCCCCAGUGCCUGUGGAGGCUAUAGUGGAGGAACAUGUGGCUCUACCAGACAGAGAACAGGAGACCGACUAGAGAGGUCACUGCUGAGGGGCUGUUGAGAUAAGGUGUUUAUAAUUACCCCUCUAGUCACUGAAUUACUAUCUGCUCUAUAUCUAUCUCUCACCCAUUACUGUACUGCUCCAUCUAUUCUAUUUCUAUCUCUCACCCAUUACUGUACUGCUCCAUCUAUUCUAUAUCUAUCUCUCACCCAUUACUGUACUGCUCCAUCUAUUCUAUAUCUAUCUCUCACCCAUUACUGUACUGCUCCAUCUAUUCUAUAUCUAUCUCUCACCCAUUACUGUACUGCUCCAUCUAUUCUAUAUCUAUCUCUCACCCAUUACUGUACUGCUCCAUCUAUCCCUCACCCAUUACUGUACUGCUCCAUCUAUUCUAUUUCUAUCUCUCACCCAUUACUGUACUGCUCCAUCUA